Molecule: long non-coding RNA, 1684 nt
Organism: Arvicanthis niloticus (Nile rat)
Lineage: Eukaryota; Metazoa; Chordata; Mammalia; Rodentia; Muridae
Source: RefSeq, a predicted model, not a curated record
CUAGCUCACAGAAACUGCUGCAGCAGGGGAAGAGAGGGUGAAGGGUCCUGCAUCUGCUGGGAAGUGAUACCUGCCGCUUCAUGCUUCACCAGCCAGAGGAUGUCAGAUUGCCACACCCAACUUCAACAGGCAAGGAGUGGCAGACUCCUCUGGGAAAUGAGAUAUGGAAAUAUCGAGAGCCCUGUCAUGGAUACCACACUGAAAGCCAAAGUCCUUACGUCCAACCUCUGAUGCCCUGAAGAGGAGGAUGGGUCGGUCUUGCCCAUUCACCUGGAUACUGCAAAGGAUGGAUGACAAACGUGCUGUGGACUGUCAGUGGCUGGCGCCACAGCCUGUGAGAGAAAGCUCUGCUGGAGGAGGCGGCUCUCAUCAUCUUGAAGAGGCCAGAUUUGGAUCCUGAGAGAUGUUUAUUCUCUCAGUUCUUCCCCCAUCAGUGUGUUUGAGAACCACCUCUAAAGUCCGGUUGCCUGGAUGCAGGCCUCCCUCAAGGAGCCAGUUUCUGUACUGGCCUGCAGCCAAUACAUGCAGGGGAAGGAGCCCAUCACCGAGUAGGCCACAGUGUCCUUCUGGGUGCUUCCUUUAAUGUGACAGGAGAUUGCUGUCUGAGUUGGUGUCAAGUGUCUGGGUUCAAGCCUCUGCUUUUGGAACGGUGGGAUUCCAGCCACCCACCACUCACCAUGCUCCUGUGCCUUUUUAUAUAAACACCAAGCGACGGCAUUUAAAAGCCAGUCUAGCAAAUGGGGUAAAACGUUACCAUAAUGUCGUAAUGGCCCUUCCUGCCACCCACCCACAAAGGCUCUUAUGGGAGAGAAUGAAGCUCUUGCAAGCAGGUGUCAUGGGGAUCCCAGAGAUGGGGUAAAGAGAGAACAGGAAUGAGAGUGGAAAGUCCCUUCUCUCCAGAAACAAAAAAAGCCCUUUAGGGUCACCGGAUAUGUCUGUCUGCCCUGGGCCAGUGCUAAGCUUCCCUCUUCUUGUUGUGGAUGAACAUCAACACCACAGAUUUGACCUGCAUCUGCUCCUGACGCACAGCUGUGGCAAAUGGGGGCAGGUGGGCAUGGGAGUCAUGGGCAAGGCAGGCUUACGGCCAAUGUGUGCAUUAACCAAGGAAUCGCUUUUUCAAUACCCGUCACAUCUGGCACUCAAAACUCACAAAGCUCGAAGACAAACGUCAAUGCGUGUAUUAUGAGUCAUGCCGGUCUCUCUCUCCUCCCUCUCCCCAAAUUCAUCUAGUUGUCCCUACUGAUACUCUCAGCUUUUCAGAACGAUUCAGAUGGAAGGUUUAAGCAUACACAACCAGAUGUGUGUAGCACAGGGUUCCACAUAUACUGCUUGUACCCCGCUGUGUUCAUGUAGUGAUUUUCUCCUCCCAGGAGACAGUGACAGUGUCCAUAGUUGGUUUCUAUUUUUUGGCUCCAUAGUGUUUCCUCAUGUGCUGGGGAGCAUGCGCUUAGUAUCUGAGGAGUCAGGCUCCAGCCUUUUGGGGGAGUCUUUUGCUGUAGAAGUAAUGGAGUAUUGAGGCAUGAUGAGACAUGAAGGAUUGUCAGCCGUGUCCUGCCCAGCACUGCUACCACUAACCACAAUGCAAGCCCACAGCUGAAAUGUGGCUGGUCCCAUCAAGGUUGGCUACAAAAGUAAAAUGCAAACUAGACUUUGACGAGUUAAUUUUAAAAUGUAAACCAAACCG